Molecule: ribosomal RNA, 253 nt
Filed under: uncultured bacterium
Lineage: Bacteria
Description: partial 16S ribosomal RNA
Rfam family: Bacterial small subunit ribosomal RNA
Source: RNAcentral
UACAGAGGGUGCGAGCGUUAAUCGGAUUUACUGGGCGUAAAGCGUGUGUAGGUGGCUUCCUAAGUCGGUUGUGAAAUCCCUGGGCUCAACCUGGGAAUUGCAGUCGAUACUGGGAAGCUCGAGUUCGGUAGAGGGUGACGGAAUUCCCGGUGUAGCGGUGAAAUGCGUAGAUAUCAAGAGGAACACCUGAGGUGAAGACGGGUUGCUGGGCUGACACUGACGCUGAGGCGCGAAAGCCAGGGGAGCAAACGGG